UAAGGAAUAUUGCACAAUGGGGGGAACCCUGAUGCAGCAACGCCGCGUGAGCGAAGAAGGCCUUCGGGUCGUAAAGCUCUUUUCUGGGGGACGAGGAAGGACGGUACCUCAGGAAUAAGUCUCGGCUAACUACGUGCCAGCAGCCGCGGUAAAACGUAGGAGGCGAGCGUUAUCCGGAUUUACUGGGCGUAAAGGGCAAGUAGGCGGUUGUUCAAGUUGGGCGUGACAAAUCUCGGCUUAACUGAGAGGGGACGUUCAAGACUGGGCGACUAGAGGGCAGGAGAGGGAAGCGGAAUUCCUAGUGUAGCGGUGGAAUGCUCAGAUAUUAGGAAGAACACCAGUGGCGAAAGCGGCUUCCUGGUCUGUACCUGACGCUGAUAGGCGAAAGCUAGGGGAGCGAACG
Molecule: ribosomal RNA, 403 nt
Filed under: uncultured prokaryote
Description: bacterial SSU rRNA
Rfam family: Bacterial small subunit ribosomal RNA
Source: RNAcentral